UACCAGCUCUCCGAGUGGUAGUGAUGAUUAUUGGGCUUAAAGCGUCCGUAGCCGGCUUAGCAAGUCUCCUGUUAAAUUCAGCGACCUAAUCGUUGAGCCGCGGGAGAUACUACUAGGCUAGGAGGCGGGAGAGGUCGACGGUACUUUCGGGGUAGGGGUGAAAUCCUAUAAUCCCGGGAGGACCACCAGUGGCGAAGGCUGUCGACUAGAACGCGCUCGACGGUGAGGGACGAAAGCUGGGGGAGCGAACCGGAUUAGAUACCCGGGUAGUCCCAGCUGUAAACGAUGCGGGCUAGGUGUUGGGGUGGCUACGGGCUACUUCAGUGCCGCAGGAAAGCCAUUAAGCCCGCCGCCUGGGGAGUACGGCCGCAAGGCUGAAACUUAAAGGAAUUGGCGGGGGAGCACCACAAGGCGUGAAGCCUGCGGUUC
Molecule: ribosomal RNA, 429 nt
Filed under: uncultured archaeon
Lineage: Archaea
Description: bacterial SSU rRNA
Rfam family: Archaeal small subunit ribosomal RNA
Source: RNAcentral